Molecule: long non-coding RNA, 257 nt
Filed under: Helianthus annuus (common sunflower)
Lineage: Eukaryota; Viridiplantae; Streptophyta; Magnoliopsida; Asterales; Asteraceae
Description: hypothetical non coding rna
Source: RNAcentral
AUGUUUGGUGAACGGGCGCAGGAGCGUCAAGCGGACAAGCGGGCGGUGAACCACGUUUAAAAGGCCUACUUUGAAGGUAACAAGAUGGAUCUUGCGGAUGGCGAUCAAGCACAUGAUGAAGAACCGAACACUACAUUUCGAAGCUUCCGCAAUGUUUUAAAUUUUUAGUAGUCUUAUGUAUGGGUUGUAAACACUUGUUAAACUACUUUUGAAAUGUUUUAACUUAGUCAUUAGUUGACUAAGGUUGACGUACUUAU